UUCCUGGUGGUUCAGUUGGUAAAGAAUCUGCCUGCAAUGCAGAAGACCCAGGUUCGAUUCCUGGGUAGGGAA
RNAcentral lists this transfer RNA (72 nucleotides) under Bos taurus (domestic cattle). It matches the Rfam family "tRNA". From Rfam's summary of the family: Transfer RNA (tRNA) molecules are approximately 80 nucleotides in length. RNAcentral also lists the same sequence under 2 other names. The record is from Rfam by way of RNAcentral. Lineage: Eukaryota; Metazoa; Chordata; Mammalia; Artiodactyla; Bovidae.